RNA transcript from Hemibagrus wyckioides, 1100 nucleotides. It is a transcript of the gene named neuropeptide Y, with no coding region annotated. The record is from RefSeq and is a predicted model, not a curated record. The transcript has 4 exons. NCBI's taxonomy places the organism in Eukaryota, Metazoa, Chordata, Actinopteri, Siluriformes, Bagridae.
CUAAUCCAAGUAGUAACCUUUUCUAAGUGACCGACUUAAACGACUAAGAUGACCACUCAGUCAGUCGAUGGAUGACGUGUGUGCGCGCGCGCGCUCUUGCUUACUGGUGGAGCGCAUCCUCGUUACCGCACGCGCAGCGCUCCUAUAUAAACCCAGCAGUUAAAUCAUCAGCCUCACGAGACACGACUCACAGCUUCACAGUGGGAAAAGUCUACAUCAAGGAGCAGAAGAAGGAGGAGAAGAAAACCAGAACAUCAGCUAAGUAUGCGUCCUCGUGCAAGCGUGUGUGUCGGCUGGCUCGCGUGCGUCCUGCUGGUUGUGUGUUUGAGCUCCAUGGCGGAAGGAUAUCCAACCAAGCCGGAGAACCCGGGAGAGGACGCACCUGUUGAGGAACUCGCCAAGUAUUACUCCGCGCUGAGACACUACAUCAACCUGAUCACGAGGCAGAGGUAUGGCAAAAGGUCAAACAGUGAUGCACUGACCCCAGACCUGCUGCUUGGAGAGUCAGAGAUGCGACUCCAGUCCAGGUAAAAUGUAUAGACACCUACUCCAGACCUGGUGACAUGCUUCUUAUGGAUUCACAAAUAAUAUACGAUGACCCCUCCUCGAUGUGGUGAUGUCAGUGUAUUCAUGUUCGCUCGCCAUUUCCUUCCCUGUUAGAGCCGAUAACCUCAUCAGAAACGUCCACCACUUUUGUGGUCCAUCUCUAGCAGGCAUCAGACUACACUGAUAGUAAUAGUGAGACAGGGAAUUGCUGUAAAUUGCAUUGUUUUCAUCUGCUGAAGGUAGAUAAUAAAGCACCACUGAUUUGCAUGUAAUCCCCAGCAUCCUCGAUGUGUAUAUAGACUUCCAGUGUUUAUGUAUGUCCUACGCACUAAAGCUGCUCCAAUAAAGACAAAAUAAUACUGACCGGCGUGGAAUAAUUGCUAUUAAACCAUUACAUUCGGAGGAGUCUGUUUUCUUCUAGGUUUCAUACACACUGAAUUACUGCAUAUAAGCGAAUAAGCUCACAUAAACACUCGGACUUUAUAUUGCUGGUUCCAUAGUUUCUCCCUCUGACCAGGUUAGCAGUCUGCCUUACUGCCUUUUAUCUGCCUUAC